CAUCGCUAUAAAGUGUUCUUAU
Molecule: microRNA, 22 nt
Filed under: Ptychodera flava
Lineage: Eukaryota; Metazoa; Hemichordata; Enteropneusta; Ptychoderidae
Description: Pfl-Mir-2006_5p* (star (passenger))
Source: RNAcentral